AGAGUUUGAUCAUGGCUCAGGAUGAACGCUAGCGGCAGGCUUAACACAUGCAAGUCGAGGGGCAGCGCGGGAUAGCAAUAUCCUGGCGGCGACCGGCGGAGGGGUGCGUAACGCGUGAGCGACAUGCCCGUUGCCCGGGGACAACCGGUGGAAACGCCGACUAAUCCCCGAUGGGAUACGAUGCUUCAUGGCAUUGUAUUGAAAGUUACGGCGGCGACGGAUUGGCUCGCGUCCGAUUAGCUUGUUGGCGGGGUAACGGCCCACCAAGGCUACGAUCGGUAGGGGUUCUGAGAGGAAGGCCCCCCACAAUGGGACUGAGACACGGCCCAUACUCCUACGGGAGGCAGCAGUGAGGAAUAUUGGUCAAUGGGCGGAAGCCUGAACCAGCCAUGCCGCGUGCGGGAAGGAGGCCCUAUGGGCUGUGAACCGCUUUUGCCUGGGGGCAAUAAGGGCGUCGCGCACGUCCGAUGAGAGUACCAGGCGAAUAAGCAUCGGCUAACUCCGUGCCAGCAGCCGCGGUAAUACGGGGGAUGCGAGCGUUAUCCGGAUUCAUUGGGUUUAAAGGGUGCGUAGGCUGUGCGUCAAGUCGGGGGUGAAAUUCCGGUGCUCAACACCGGGGCUGCCCUUGAUACUGUCGCGCUGGAGUGCGGAUGCCGCCGGAGGAAUGAGUGGUGUAGCGGUGAAAUGCUUAGAUAUCACUCAGAACACCGAUUGCGAAGGCAUCUGGCGAAUCCGUAACUGACGCUGAGGCACGAAAGCGUGGGGCUAGAACAGGAUUAGAUACCCUGGUAUUCCACGCCGUAAACGAUGAUGGCUAACCGCCGGCGACACACUGUCGGUGGCCAAGCGAAAGCGAUAAGCCAUCCACCUGGGGAGUACGUCGGCAACGAUGAAACUCAAAGGAAUUGACGGGGGCCCGCACAAGCGGAGGAACAUGUGGUUUAAUUCGAUGAUACGCGAGGAACCUUACCCGGGCUUGAAUUGCAGAGGAAGGAUUUGGAGACAAUGACGCCCUUCGGGGUCUCUGUGAAGGUGCUGCAUGGUUGUCGUCAGCUCGUGCCGUGAGGUGUCGGCUUAAGUGCCAUAACGAGCGCAACCCCUCUCCUUAGUUGCCAUCAGGUUAAGCUGGGCACUCUGGGGACACUGCCACCGUAAGGUGUGAGGAAGGUGGGGAUGACGUCAAAUCAGCACGGCCCUUACGUCCGGGGCUACACACGUGUUACAAUGGCAGGUACAGAGAGACGGUUGUACGUAAGUACGAUCAAAUCCUUAAAGCCUGUCUCAGUUCGGACUGGGGUCUGCAACCCGACCCCACGAAGCUGGAUUCGCUAGUAAUCGCGCAUCAGCCAUGGCGCGGUGAAUACGUUCCCGGGCCUUGUACACACCGCCCGUCAAGCCAUGAAAGCCGGGGGCGCCUAAAGUCCGUGACCGUAAGGAGCGGCCUAGGGCGAAACUGGUAAUUGGGGCUAAGUCGUAACAAGGUA
This 1484-nucleotide ribosomal RNA is filed under the name metagenome. Its description in RNAcentral is "bacterial SSU rRNA". It matches the Rfam family "Bacterial small subunit ribosomal RNA". The record is from RNAcentral.